CUCAACCCAUCCGCCGGCCUCGGCCUCACAAAGUGCUAGGGUUACAGGCGCGAGCCACCGUGCCUGGCCACCUAAAGUCCAUAGUUGAUUCUGAUUGCCUUAGUUUUUGCUUAAUGUCCUUUUUCUGUUCCAGGAUACCACAUGGAGCAUUUUGAGGAGUGCUGGCCAGGUAUUUUGUAGAAUGUUCCUCAACUGGGAUUUGGCAGAUGCUUCUCAUCCUUAGUCUUGGCUUGUGUGUGUUUUGAGGAGGAGGACCACAGAGCUUAAGAAUCAUUCUCAGCACUCUGUAUCAGGCACGCAUUCUCUCAAGAUGACUUGCCGCUAUUGAAGUUGACUUUGAUCACCUGGCUGAGGAUCGACAUUUGUUCAAGAAGCCUGGUUCCUUUUACUGGAGAAUGGUGUUUAUUGGAGAACAGAGACCUGGGCACCAGAGGAGGAUCAGAGGACUUCUGUCCUGAGAUUGCCAGAAAAAUGAUGAACAGAAAAUUAUACACAACCGAACAGGCCCAACUUUCAAAUGGACUGAGAAUGACCCACACAAGUUCCACCGAGGCCAAGGGUGACCUGCAGCCAGCGACAGGGAAAGACUGCCACUUACUGGCGGCCUCCGGAACUGGAAGGAGUGUACUGACAAUUGUAUCUUUCGCAAGCUCUUAACCUUUAUACCGUCAAUAAAAACCCCAUUAACAUUUAAAAGGGAUGUUUCUGGGUGUCCACUUGGAAUAAGAGUUGGAAAACACUCCAAGAAAUGGAUCCUGUAUUAAUAUCACAUCUGUCCCAGAUCUCCAACACUGUUCACUUUCCUUCCACGGUGCCAACACCAAGCUAGCUGAUAGGUGGGAACAGGGCAGCUCUGCGGUUGGCCCCCAAGAGCCAGGGAGUCCCCCAAGCUGACCCCCUGGGGUGGCAGUGGCACCUAACAAGAACUUCCACCUUGUUUUCCCUCUCUCUGUUUUGUCCUUUUGGACUCUGCUCACGCAUCACAUCCAGAAAGUUCCCUAAGCUCUCCAGUGGGAUGAGAACUCUGCUCUGUGCUCCUGUGGUCCUCCAUGUUCCUCCACCUGGAGGCCCUCGGCUCCCUGCAUUACCCCUGUCUACUUACUGACUUGCCUUCUACCCAGUGAUGGGCCAUGUGCUGUGAGGGCACACACUGUGUGCCCAUCUAUUCAUUCCUCUGUGCGUGCGUUCAUUCAUUCCUUACUGAAUGCCCACCAAGUGCCAAGCAUUGGGGUACGAAGAACAAGGCAGACGGGGCCUCCCUGGCCUCUUCCAGCUCGCUGUAGAGUGUUGUCUACCCUACUCAUCCUCACAUACCCAUGCCUGUCCUAUGUGGCACUCAAUAAAUGUCGGAUGGAUGGAUGUGUCCCCUCCUUCAAUAUCACUUAAUUCACUUGAUGACUUCCUGUGAGGAUUAAGUUUAGCUGUUAAAAUGCUGUGACUUCCUCUGGAUCUCUGAUGCAAGCCGGCAACGUUUAAGCCUCACCCGGCCGACGUAGGCAUUUUGUUUGGCCAAAGUGUGUGGUUUUCUUAAAAAAACACUGCAUUUGUGGCUAACAUUUAAAAUUGGGAAAAUUUCACGUAAAUCUUUGUUUUUCUGGCUUCUCUAGAAAAAUGAACGCACAUUUCUGCACAGCAGGGGUGAGCCAGAGCUGAGUCCCUAAGCUUCCCUUAGACGUGGUGGGCACACUUCAACUUGCCACAACCUCCACUAUCUCCGAUUUCUCUAUCAC
This 1730-nucleotide long non-coding RNA is filed under the name Homo sapiens (human). Its description in RNAcentral is "HSALNT0384811". The record is from RNAcentral. Lineage: Eukaryota; Metazoa; Chordata; Mammalia; Primates; Hominidae.